CAGAUUACAUUUGUUGAACGUUGAUUGCGAACUUCGGCGUCAGAAGAGAAGAAGUGUGAAAGGAGUGGCGACGGCGGGGCGACGAGGGCGUCAGUACGCGUAGAAGGAAGAGAGUCCCGUCUCGUUGUACCGGCCGGCGCCGCCGCACGUGGUGGCUGCCACCCUGCCCCAGCACGGCCGCCUCACGCGCGGCCUGGGGAGGUAGGAGGCGGAGAGGCGGCGCGAGCGUACCCUUCUCCGGGCGCUCGGCGACGUGCGGCUGUAGCUGUGCUGGUUCUGGACGCCGCAGCCGGGGCCCUACCGGAAGCGGGCGCGGUAAGAGGGCGCCGACGUCGGGGGUCCGUGGCGGCCCCAGCCCGAGCAUGGCACGCGGCAGCCGCCGUGCCGGUAGGCCCUCACCCGGGCGCCCCUCGUGGACAUGCUCGUCUACCACGCCGCGCGCGCGCGGCGCUGGCUCACGCCGCUCUAGCUCCGGCACAACACCAUGGUCCCCCUCUCGCUACGUCUCAGGCUACGGCUUUGCCGCCGCAUGGUCCCCUUGCACCUCUCCGACUAUCGUUUAUAGUCCCGUCUAGAACCCUACGGCGUAGAUGGUAAGUAAGUCCAACGAGAGCGUAGACCCUUAUUUUCCUUGUAACUUUUUCACUCCCUCCGAGUCGAAUCGUAAUUGAACGACUUACAACAUUGACACCUACGUUAACCAGACGGGAACUUGCUUCUAUUAGACGUAGAAUGGUGACUUCGUGUUCAUUUCGAACCUCUUUCAGAACGUGUUUGGAUGUAGUCAUUGAAAAAUGUUCGUUGGACGAUCCUCUGGGCGUUUACAGUACUAUCCCGACAGGGUAGAAGUAAGGUGCCGUGUAUACAAACUGUCAUGGGAACGUUCUGACAGUACUGUUGGAAAAUAUAAACCUUCCGUAACAUUGUAAACGUGUAGGUGUCAUGUUUCGCUUAUUUUUAGUAAUUACUUUUCCUACGUAAAAUAUAAAAGUUAAUGUAGCUGUGCUGUUGGAACACACGCGCGUUUUGUUGUAGU
Molecule: ribosomal RNA, 1036 nt
Filed under: Triticum aestivum (bread wheat)
Lineage: Eukaryota; Viridiplantae; Streptophyta; Magnoliopsida; Poales; Poaceae
Description: partial small subunit ribosomal RNA
Source: RNAcentral